AAAUUGAAGAGUUUGAUCAUGGCUCAGAUUGAACGCUGGCGGCAGGCCUAACACAUGCAAGUCGAGCGGUAGCACAGAGAGCUUGCUCUCGGGUGACGAGCGGCGGACGGGUGAGUAAUGUCUGGGAAACUGCCUGAUGGAGGGGGAUAACUACUGGAAACGGUAGCUAAUACCGCAUAACGUCGCAAGACCAAAGUGGGGGACCUUCGGGCCUCAUGCCAUCAGAUGUGCCCAGAUGGGAUUAGCUAGUAGGUGGGGUAACGGCUCACCUAGGCGACGA
This 280-nucleotide ribosomal RNA is filed under the name Klebsiella pneumoniae. RNAcentral's name for it is "partial 16S ribosomal RNA". It matches the Rfam family "Bacterial small subunit ribosomal RNA", at positions 1 to 279 of the family's 1533-position model. The record is from RNAcentral. Lineage: Bacteria; Pseudomonadati; Pseudomonadota; Gammaproteobacteria; Enterobacterales; Enterobacteriaceae.